GCCUUUUGUAUAUUGAAAUAAAAGGUCGUGCCUGCCCACUGACUAUUGAGUUAGUUAAAUGGCCGCAGAUUUCUGUGCUAAGGUAGCGCGAUAAGUAGCCCUUUAAUUGGGGGAUGGUAUGAACGGCUUGACAUGGAGGUGCUGUCUUUAAUAUAGUUAAAAAGAAAUUUCUUUUCAAGUGAAAAAGCUUGGGUUUUUGUAAAAGACGAGAAGACCCUAUCGAACUUAAUUAGGGUUAAAAUAAAAAAUAAACGACUUUUAUUUUUAUUUUAAUUUAAACUUUUGUUGGGGCAGUAGAGGGCUAAAAAAAGUGUCCUUUUGUUAAAUAAAGAUCCUUUUUGAUGGACAAAAGCAAAAGUUACCGUAGGGAUAACAGCGUAAUAUCUUUUUGAGAGAUCUUAUUGAAGAAAGGGUGUGCGACCUCGAUGUUGAAUUAAGGAAACUUUAUGGUUGCAGAAGCUUUAAAAGUGAGACUGUUCGUCUUUUAAUUCCUU
This 494-nucleotide ribosomal RNA is filed under the name Compsomyax subdiaphana. RNAcentral describes it as "partial large subunit ribosomal RNA". It matches the Rfam family "Bacterial large subunit ribosomal RNA", at positions 1816 to 2597 of the family's 2925-position model. Lineage: Eukaryota; Metazoa; Mollusca; Bivalvia; Venerida; Veneridae. The record is from RNAcentral.